AGCCACGUAGCCUAGUGGUAACGCUUCCGCCUCGUAAGCGGUAGAUCGGGGUUCAAAUCCCGACUCUGACCA
This is a non-coding RNA of Culex pipiens (northern house mosquito), 72 nucleotides long. Lineage: Eukaryota; Metazoa; Arthropoda; Insecta; Diptera; Culicidae. The record is from Rfam.